UUUUUUUUUUUUUUUUUUUUUUACAGAAGAAAGCCAAAUGAUUAAAGAAGAAGAAACCCAUUAUUUUAUUUCUUUUUAAAAUUUAUAUAUUCUAUAUUCUUUAAGGAACAAAUGCCUUUACGGACCAGAAAUCUUUUCACUUCUUCAUUUUCAUCUCAGAAAAGAAUAUACAUUUUCAUCUAUAAAUAUUUUAAUAAUUAUUUUAUGUAGUAUUUAAUAUGUCUUCUACCUGUAAUAGUAAUUUAGGUAUUGGUACAUUAUGUAUCACAAGAGUGUGUUCUCUUAGGCACUCUGAAUAGCUGUUCCACCAAUUGAAUAUUUCCUUUAAUGUAUGUUUUUAGCACAGUCAAGGUAUUCUUUCUUUCUUUCUCUGGUGGGGAAGCACAUGCUAACACUGUGCUGGGAAUGCUGGGAAUAGUUUUGUGGCACCUGCCUUGCUCUGUGCUUGAGGUGUCAUUCUAAAGAUGGGCAUAGGUAUCAUUCAGAGAUGGGCAAUCAGCCUAAAGGCAACCUUUGCUCUUACACCACCCAGCUGCUCAUUUUCCUGUGAUUCCCAUUACCCCUGUGAAGGUAUGUAGGGCUCACUGCUUGCUGCUUCUCACCCCACAGUUUGCCAAAACAGAAACUGGAGGAGAGAGGUGAGAGGAAUUUGGAGAUGGAAAAGCACCAUCCCCAUGCGAUGGGGAGGAAAAGACCCUCCAUCCCUCCAUGGGUUUCCUCCCUGUGCAUUAUGUGGAUUUUCACUUUUUUCAUCCAUCCUCUGAAGAGGACCCACUUGUCACCUCAGAAAUUCUAAUUUCCACUUGCCACAGCUCCUUCUGCUAAAAGGUUACUGAGAUGUAGAGGGAGUCUUGGGCCAGCAUGAGAGAAGACAGGUGAUGGUGCUUCCUGGUGGCUUCUGCCAUGAAGCUGAGCUCCUGAAGCCAUAAACACAGGUGUCCUUAGCAAACUAUUGGGCACUACAAUAUAAGAAAGGUAUAAAGCCAUUAUAAAGUGUCUAAGGGAGGGCAAUGAAAAUGGUGAAGGGCCUUGAGGGGAGGCUGUGUGAGGAAUGGCUGAGGUCACUUGGCUUGUUUAACAUAUUUUUGUAGCUCUAAUGGAGACAUGGGAAGCAGCAAUAGCUACGCCAGUUAAGGUGGCUAACCUGCUGACGCACAAUGAGCCAUUCUUCUCUUACAUGACCUGGACACUUUUGGGGAUGCUGGAUCCAGUGGCAGACAAACAAGCCUGUUUGGCUUACUGGGAGCAAAAAUUCAGUCCAAAAACAUCCGCAGCAGCAUUUUCUUUGGUUCCCAUUGACAAAAUCAGCACUGAACAAACUCCUAAGAAGCAUCUAGAAGCCAAAUGGGAAAAGCAAAAAAGAAAAUAAUCAAGAAAUUCUUGGUUUCCUAUGUAGUUGGGCACUAUGGCUUUAUGAAAAAGCUAAGAUCAUAAAUAAACUUUUCUUGGGUUUGAUUUCUUUUUCCACAUCUAUUGUUGAAGUAUCUUGAACCUUAAUUUAAGGCCUUGAUGGAAAUUUAAGGAUUUUGAUUUUUGAACUUGCAGUGGCAGCUAGAUUUCUGAGCACAUGUAAGCUUCCACAAGAGCAAAAAUAUUUUGUGUUGCCCCAGUUCCCAAAGCAUGAACUAAUUUGUCCUGGAUUUUAUAUCCUACAUAUUUCUCCUGCUUUGCCUCAGAUGUGGGGACAUUAUUGACCUUUCACACACAGAUAUGAGUGGCUGCCUUAGCUUUUAUUAACAUAUGUAGUUAUCUGUUUGCAACUUCUGUUCUUACAAACAUACCUCAAAUGUGAGAGGCUGAGUCUUUAACGAGCCCAUGGCUAUGGAUGAUAAGGCAUACUUCCUGCAGGUUUCAGCUCCAUCUAUUGUUUUUUGUAACAAUGGAGAAAAAUGAAAUGUGUUUUUGAUUUUGUUUGCAUUUCCUACUGAGGAAGCAUUAGGGAAUACCAGUUUAUAAAGGUGAAGAAAUAUGAGCAAACAGGAUAAAAAAAAGGCUAGCACAUCACUAAUUGCAGCUCAUUAAGCUACACUGAAUACUUUCCCUACAGCCACAGCUGGCACCACAAACAUCCUCUUGUUCCUGAAAGAACAAGUUGCUGUCCUAGGGAAGGGAAGGGACACAGCAGGACGGACGGCCAAGCCAGAUGCUACUCCAAGUGUCUACAAUGUUCCUCUGUUGUUGGCCAGCUUCAGGAAAAUCAGAUUAUCUGACUUCCAAGGCUUUGCUUUUUAUCCACACUCUCCCCAGCUUUUACCCCUUCAGCAGGCUCUGGACUGGAUGCAAUGUGGUGCUCUUUCCCACAGAGCAUAUUUUCAAACUGCUGCCCCGUGAACCCAAUGCCAAACUGAAGCGUGCCUCUCUCAGGGCAGCUGAGACUGUGACUUGGAGAGCCUGGGAUGUCUUCAGGAACCUGUCUGGGCCCUGCUUUGACUGUCAGACAUAACAGAAACUAGAAGACUUUGAUCACCAACAGGGACCUGCCUCCCUCCUCUCCUCCUCUGCCUCACUCCCUCCUUUGUGAGAAAUUAAAUCUCUUUUCUAGAUAGGAGUGUCUAUCACUCCCCAGUUGCCAGGAUUAAUCCAGACUCUUGCAUUUUAGACUGUUUAAUUUACGUGAGCUGAAUCCCAUCCUCUGUGACUUACUCCAAAAAGGCAAGUCUUAGCUCAAAGGUUUUUAAUGAGUUAAACUCAUUCAAGCCAUUGCUGAGCAUAUAUUCAGGAUGUAAGUUCCCAAAAUAAGCCUUGGUAUACUCAGUCUAUAAAACUAAACUACUUUAGACUGAUGCUUAGAUGAAAUCUGAUAACAGACAAGUAUAAAAGUAAUUUUCUCUCUCCCAUCCCCACUUCUCAUAAAGUGAUAUAACUAUGACAUUUCCGUGGGUGUACACAUUAAAAAAAAUGAAACAAGAGUCUGAGUUAGUACCAGUUGGUACAACUGAUUCUCUAGCAGAUUAAGUCUAUAAUAUUGCCAGCUAAGUGUAGAGAUCUUUAAAUUAAAUGUGGCAGAAUUAGAGAGUGGGACCAGAAAGUAAUGCUUUUUUAUUCCUUUACACUUUUACCUGGAAGUCCUACUGCCAGUGUCAUGCAUCUAGAAAUCCUAGAUGUGAUAAGUACUAAGAGAUGAUUUCAAAUAAAUUAUUCAUUUAUCAUUUAUUUCUUAAAUAAUUAUGGGUUGUCAUUCAUUGAGAUCCACAUCUUGAAAACUUUUCCUGCAAUUAUGGGGAUGGAAAACUUUCUUUUAAGAGCAAAAAAUAGGUGAAGAAGAAAUUUCAAGUUAUAAUUUAAAAAAUAACCAAUUAAUGCAAUAAAAAAAGGAUCUGAGGUGAUAUGGAGUUGAACCUGAACCAGUUUCAUUUAUCCACAAAAGACUUCCCCCUAGUGAAAUGAAAAAAUCCGGCAUCAUCAACAGUUUGGAAUAUGACCUGGUAGAGAAAUCCCAGGCAGCUGCACUGACAUAUCAUGCUGCCAUUGUAAGAUGUAGGAGAAUCCCUCUCUGAAGGACACUGUGGAAGCUGCAGCACAGAGAUAUAGACUGCAAGCUAAAUGUUUCCAGAACAACAGGAAAAACCAAAAGAAAAGUGAGCACUCAUUAAAUAACUUUUAAAAUUAGCUUGGAAUGCCAAAUUGUGGAAAAUAGGAGAUAAUAGCACGAAAACCACUCUCCUCUCCCUCUGCACAAACACUGUGAGAAAGCUUGCUCUUUAAGCACAUAACUAUAUUCCUCCUCUUCCUUUGACCUCAGUCAGAGGAUGCUUGUUUCUAGGGUACCUCACUCUACUUGCCUCUAUGGAUGCAAAGGACUACUAAUGUCAAUCAUGCAUGCUAAAGAAACAGGUUUUGUUGAUACUGCUUGUUAGAGCGGGAUCUUCAUUAAUGCACUCCCAGCCCCUCAAUUCCAUUUCUUUUGUGUCUGCACAGAAGACUAGGCACAUUUUUGGCUCAGUAUCUACAGAUAAUCAGACUCAAUUUGUAAGGGGACAAGCCUGGAGUACACUUGACUUUUGAAACUUGGGAAACAGUGGGACGAUGGGACAAAGCUUUGAAGAGCUGGUUACGCCUGUGCCCCAUCAUGGACAGGGUUGCGGAUGUAUCUGGGCUCCACUGGAAGACCAGCCGUGGACAAAAUGCAAAAAACUCGCCGGGGAAUUGCCAUCACACAUGAGGGAUUUGGAAGCUGCAGCGACGAGCAGGUCCCACCAGGUGGUGCCAUGAAAACAGGAGUUGUCGUCCUUGGUUUGCCGCAGAACCUCCAGCAGGACCUCAGCUCCUCCAAACCCUAGAAAUUUGAGGGGUUUUUAGUUUUGGUUUGGUUUUGUUAUUGUUUUUUAUUUGGUCUGUUUUGUUUGGGGUUUGGGGUUUUUUUUUCUCUUUGAUUUUUUUUUUGGUUGGUUGUGUUUGUUUUUUUUUUUGUUUGGUUUGGUUUUGGUUUUGUUUCUUUUUUAGCAGAAAUCAACCCUAACAAAUAAUUUUUGCAAAUCUGUUUCUGUUCUUUGGAGCUGUAUUCUAUUUUUCAACAAGCAAUGUAAAGCAAUCAUGAAGAAAAAAUAAGAAAGAAACUACUGAUAUAAUUAAUAGCUUUUUGACCCUAUGUCCAUGUAGUUUCUUUCCUCUAGUCCCUGAAUACAUGAGCAUGUAUUCAGUCCUGAGACAAAAGUUUCUGUUGAUGAUUCAGGGUCAAAAAUCUUGGGCUUAUCAGCCAUGAGCAGGAACACUGGUAUUACAAUAAUGGAAAAGUUUUGGGUUUUGGUCGGCAAAUAUCAAGACUGACAGAAUACGGCUUGGGAUAGAAAUAUGUGUAUCUGCAGUCCCAGAGUAGGAGGUAAGCUCUGACAUCCAGUAAUACUCUCUCUUCCUUCCACUUGUACUCACAAUUCUUUUUACUAGCAUGCCCUUCCCCUCUUCCUCUCCUUCCCCCUCCCCCAUCUAACAAUAUUUUUUCAGAAACCAAAAAGGUUAUUGUCAAUCCUUGGCCUUCCAGCUCCUUCCUGAAUUCCCCAAUAGGACUGUUUACUCAUCUAUACCAAGCAUUUGACUUCCUUUCAUUUGACUCACUCCUCCCAGGUGCCUGUCAUCCCUUUAUGGAUACAGCUGAACCUCAGGGCUGAGGAGCCACAAGCUGUAGGAAAAUCUGGUAGUUUUGAAAGCAAGAGAUAAGUACUGAAGUACAGGCAGAAGGUGAGAAGGGAUUCUCAAUGCAUCUCAGUUUAGGGAAGUUCUUUGCAUUAUUUGGAGAUUUGAUACAAAUGAGAGGAAGCGAGGAAAAAACUGACAAGGCCUGAUAGUUUCACCCAGACAGCCCUGAAGUAUAAUUUAAAAAGCUCUAAAAAAGUUAUAUGAAGAAUGUUAAAGUCCAAGAAGCAAUGGCCCACAAUGCAGUUCUCAAAGUUCAGAACUGUCCAAAGAACAACUUCAAAGGCAGUCAGUCCAACUCACAAACGCUGCAAGGGAUCAGCACUCCUACAAAGCGUUAACAUCACGUGCACAUAGCCAUUUUGAAGCAGCACCCUAAAUACUCAGCUGAGGAUUGACAAGAGUUUUCAGAUGCUGAAAGCAAAACCUUUGCACCUGCCUCAGAGCUUCUGGGACACUACCAAGCCCAGGCUCAGUGCAGCUGGCUUGGCUCCACGUCAGAGGAGACCCUUGGAUGAAGGUGCCUGAGACUGAAGGACGGAGAGGCAACGUGCUCAUCUCAGCAGGUUGGAGAGCUGCCUCAGGUUGAGCAGGAUCAUAGCAAGAGGUGCUGCUGACUCAGUUUUGGAUUGCUGAGGCUGGGGCAGUGGGACCUGCUGAAAAUCCCUGUUGUUCAUUUCUGGGGAAUUGCUGCCAAAGCAGGGCACAAAGAACAUGUUUAAUGCCACGGCUUCGUUGUAUGACUGAAUUGUCAGCAUUCUGAGCCCCAAAUGCAGGCUUGUAAUUGAAAGCUCAUUCCCAUAUUACUGUUCUAGUAACAGUAAUGAAACACCCAAGACACUUCUGAAGAAAGGGACAUUUGACUCAGGCCAGGUGCCUAAAGCCUUUU
Molecule: long non-coding RNA, 6019 nt
Filed under: Taeniopygia guttata (zebra finch)
Lineage: Eukaryota; Metazoa; Chordata; Aves; Passeriformes; Estrildidae
Description: lncRNA (ENSTGUG00000021673.1)
Source: RNAcentral